AUCAUUUCUCAGCCUUUUGCCUAAGAUCAAGUAUCUGUUCUUAUCAGUUUAAUACCUGAUACGUCUUCUAGCUGAGGACAAUAUAUUAAAUGGAUUUUUGGAACUAGAAGAUGGAAUAGGAGCUUGCUCCAUCCACUCCACAUAUCAACCUGGUAUUGCAGUAUCUCCAGGAAUAGUGCACCCCCU
Small nuclear RNA from Nannospalax galili (Upper Galilee mountains blind mole rat), 186 nucleotides. Its record names the gene U2. It matches the Rfam family "U2 spliceosomal RNA". Rfam says of the family: U2 is a small nuclear RNA (snRNA) component of the spliceosome (involved in pre-mRNA splicing). The record is from Ensembl. Lineage: Eukaryota; Metazoa; Chordata; Mammalia; Rodentia; Spalacidae.